UUUGUUUCACCAAUCUUGUGGUUGUUUGUUCCAACGCUACCCAUCAUUCUUUUUUUCACCUGAUGUUUAUGGAGUCCAAAAUCUGAAAAAUGUUUCCAGAUUCUAAAAUUCAUACUAUUUUUUAACUUGGAUGAAAAUGCAUUUCUAAAGAAGAAAUUUGUUGAUUUGUUGUGUUGUGUGAUGCAUCCAGGUCUCAAUCUCCGAAGGUGACAAAUGACAUUUUCGAAUUUUCAUUGCAUUUGAAAGUACUUCAUAGGAUGUAGUGAACAAUGCUUAUUUUGGACAAGUUCCACUAUUACAUGAUAUAUAUAUAUAGUAAUCAACAACAUGCAACUUAUACAACAAAUGCACAUAUAUUUUGCUAGUGAAUCCUGCAAGUUUGAACAUCAAUAGUUCAAACCAAAAUAGUGCACUCCCUAGUUUUUUUAUUGGUAUAUACUAAAACUUAAAAGUUUUCAAAAUUCUCACGAAUAAGGUUUAAAUCCAAAUAAACCUCUAGUAUUCUAUUUCUCUAAAACAUCAAAUUUUCGAACAAAUGAAAGUAAAUAAUUUACAGUUGCACUAAACUUCAAUUUUCACAGAUUGUGUGGCUCCAACUAUUUGUGUCGACUCUUAUGUCUUGUGGACAGGCAGGAAGGACAUAGAAAAUUACCCAAUAUAGUGCGUAAUGCAGUGAUCCAAAGGCACAAGUUAUGUUCCUACAACCUCCAAACUCUGUUAUAUGAAUAAAUUGUUAAGAAAUAAUCAGAAAAAUUAUGAUAACAAAUCAUGGUUUUAUUUAUUUGUAAGCAUUGAUACAAAGAAUGGAUUUGGGGAUACUGCAAUGAAUGUGCUCCCAAGUCUCAGCUCUUAUAAGACAUGAAUCAUAAACAGAAAAUGCAUAAUAUACAGAAUGCAUGCUAAAAAUUAUAUAUAAUAUAUGUACAAAAAUGGAGAGGCCAUGCAAUCAAAGAUAUUUUCUUCAAAAUAAGUUUGCCAAAACUUUACCUUUUUAAGAAAUACUCAUCAUGGAAUCAAUGGUAAAGUAUAAACAUGCAUAAUUUGAGUUAAAUAAAUACAGCAAAUUUCAGUAUUAUAUGUAUAUCAAAUACUGUUUAUAGUUCAUUUUGUCCUUGAAAUAUAAAGCUCCUUAGCACUAAACUUAAUGUUUAGUGCAUAUGUCUGCAACUUAACAAACAUAAAUUCUUAUCAAAUAAAAAUAAUGGAUAUUUGUAGUAUCAAUCAUGAUUAAAAUAGAGAAAAAGUAGUAGAUCAAAUAUAUUGAAAUGAAACGGUAAGUUGUCCUCAAUUUGUUGCUUUUUUAGUAACCUGCGAAAUGCCAAUUGUCGAUAAAAAAGAUUGCAGUAUCGCUACCUAGCGUAAAAUAAAAUAAACUAUUUAUUUUAUACUUUCGGUAAAAAAAUUAAAUGCAAAUGCAAAAUCAGAAUCUUAAAUAAUUUAAUUAUAUCUUUCUUAAAUUAAAAAAAUUCAGGGUAAAGCAAAAAAACUCAAAUGCAGAAUAAGUUGAUUGCACGCGAUCGUUUCCUACAUUUAUUACGGCCUUUUCUUAUUUUGUUCCUUUUGUAUAAGGAAGCCUUUUUUUAAACCAUGUUAUAUGUACAAAGUAUCCACCACAAUUUAAUAGUGAUUAAUCUUCGUCAAGGAACCGGUUGCGCACUCAAAGUGAAUUCACCUUUUCCUAUAAGGAAGGCUUGUAACCCCCCUCCCCCCUCUAUAAAAUUCUGAAUUCAACAAACACUUAUCCACAACAAAGGGGUGAGGAAGUGUUUGGAUUUUACUGUUUAUUUGCAGCUAUGGAGAAGAACAACGGCAAAGUCUGCGGGAUUUGUGAUAAGUGGUUCUCCAGUGGGAAAGCCUUUGGAGGCCACAUGAGAUCUCACUACGUCAAAUUGCCGAUUCCUCCAAAGCUUGAAACUAACAAUCAAGUAGAAGAUGAUUCAGCCAAUUCAACCCAGCAUCCCAUUCAAUCUGCUUCCUCACUGAGUUUCAGAUCUAUGAAACGCAACUUGUCUGCCAUCUCUGCAAGCUCAAACAGAGAAAACAAAUCUGAGUCCUACCCACAAAACCCAACCCACAAAAGAUCUAAAUGCCUCCGCAAACAAAAUGCAGCGGCCGAUACAAAAUCUCUGUCAGAACAAACAAGUCCAAUAAGUGAAACUAAAAUUCCUCAGGGUGCUUGGAUAGUGUGGGAUUUUUACAAACUCGCGCAGCAAGAGGAAGAGGCAAAGGCACAAAAAAUAAACGAAAUCAACGAAAUAAAGGCAAAAGACAGUGGAAGCGGGAGAGGUGACUUGCUUGCUCAAGCUGACUCCCAAACCAGGUUCAAGUGUGAGAAGUGUGGAAAAGUGCUCAGAUCUUUUCAAGCACUUGGUGGGCACAAAGCACACUGCAGAAUUGACAAAGAUGGUGACUUUAUUGAUCAGAAACCUUUUCAAUGCCCAUACUGCAACAGAAUGUUCAAGAAUGCUCAAGCACUUGGUGGACACAGGAGGGUACACUUUUCCGUUGCUAAUGAGUUUUGACGCGUGUCAGUGGAUCUCAAUUUAUCAGCUACAAGAUGAAGAGGAUAACCACACCUGUUCUGAAUUUUCAAGUCCCGAUGAUAUUUUAAGUUUCACAAAGCAAUUGCGGAGAUCAGAACUUACAGGUUUAAUUUGUGAUUCUGUACACAAUUUUAGCUGUAUUUAGUUCUGAGUGUUAAGAACAAUAUUUGCUUUCAAUCAUUUUAAGUUUGAAUAAUUUGGAAUUGUGGGUUUACAUUUAUGUAAAAGAGGGAUCUUUGCUUUUGAUUACUGUUUAAGUGUUUUGGUUAGUAGUUUGUAUCUUCUUUGUAGGUUAAUUUGUGUUCAGUGUUAUCAACUGCAGAUUGCAGAAAAUAAUGAUUUGUUCAAAGUUCGUUACGCAAGAGUGUUACAGUACUGAUAUAAUCACUAUUUGAUGACAUUUUGUACUAAAUAGCGAUUUGUUCAAAUUCUGCUGCGUUACAAUGCAACUAUAGCCACUAUUUAACAUCAAAUUCUGCUGCGUUACAACGCAACUAUAGCCACUAUUUAACAUCAAAUUCUGCUGCGUUACAAGGCAACUAUAGCCUCAAAUUCUGCUGCGUUACAAUGCAACUAUAGCCACUAUUUAACAUCAAAUUCUGCUGCGUUACAACGCAACUAUAGCCACUAUUUAACAUCAAAUUCUGCUGCGUUACAAGGCAACUAUAGCCACUAUUUAACAUCAAAUUCUGCUGCGUUACAACGCAACUAUAGCCACUAUUUAACAUCAAAUUCUGCUGCGUUACAACGCAACUAUAGCCACUAUUUAACAUCGGACAUUAUAAAUCUCCAUAUCUCCAUAAAGACCAAAUUAAUCAUAAUUUCUUUUGUUUGCACAAGUAUGGUUUUAGAUCAAACUUCAUUGGCUCCUACUCUGUUUUUGAAUUUUGGUAAAAAUGUAUAAAGCCUAGGAUGACUUGCUUCUCUAAUGUGACAUUAGACCUCUAUUUUCACAAGGUUUGUACUUAUGAACAGUGCUACAGAAGCCAUGGCACCGCCAUUGCGAAUGGCAUGGCAGAAUUUUCUAACAACCGCCAUACAGUUCGGUGAUGAGCUUGGCUGCAAUGGUGUGUUUAUGUGGCAGAUUUUUGGCCUUCCGCCAUCGAAAACACUGCAUAGACUGAUGAAUAAAAUUUUGUUGUUAUUAUAUACUCGUAGAAGCUUCAACAUAAUUAGAAGUGUUGUCUGUGUUAUCUAGGAAGAAAACUUUGUUUAAACUUUGGGUUGAACCACGUGUUCAGUACCAAGCUGCUAUGCAUGUGCUCUGGUAUGGCUUUCUAGGGGAGAAAUUAACCUUGAUGAAUUAUCCCUUUUUCAAAUUUUGAGAGUUUGUUUCAAGCCAUUGCUGGCAAAAAGGCUAGAUGUAAAAGAAAUGCUUAAAUAUCAUGAUCCGACAAAAGAGGUAUCAGAUCUAUCGCGAAAAGUUAAGAUAUGCCGCUAUGAUUCCAAAAAUGACAAAACAGGGGGUUUGGGAUUGUGCAAAAGUGUGGCACCUCUAAUGAGGCCCAGGUGACUGAAAAAAGCGAACAAAACUGCACAGACAGAAACUAGUUCAAAUAAUUAAACAUGAAAAAAAAAGCAAAACUCAAGCAGUUGAGAAGGAUGAAUGAGGUCGCAUAGAAACCAUAAAUAUAUAUCCGUAUGUGUGUGGGCAUGUAAUUGGAUGAAUAUAGAUACUGGAAGCAUAUGGCAUGCAAAUAGAACAGAAUGGAACUGCAUAUUUUGCUCUCUUCUCUUUGGUUCCACCUUUUUUCAGCGGUGUUGCCUAUUGCGGAUGGUGGUCCAUGGCGGAGAGCCAAAAUCCCGCCAUACCAUCAUAUUUUGCUCUCUUCUCUUUGGUUCCACCUUUUUUCAGCGGUGUUGCCUAUUGCGGAUGGUGGUCCAUGGCGGAGAGCCAAAAUCCCGCCAUACCAGAGACUUUGCAGCGCUCUUAUAGCGGAAUAUGGCAGAAAACCCACCCCGUAUAUCUGCCAUAGCGCCGCAAUUGCGGAUAUUUGAUAACUCUGUUUUUCAGUGAAAUCAAAAUGCAGUACUUGUUUUACUUUUUUUUAAUUGAGUCGGUUAUGUCCCAAAUUAUUUAGCAAAUGCUACCUAAGGUACAUUAUCUACUUUUUUUUUUGAAAACCCGGUAUUCGAUCGAUCUAACGACCGAGUAAUUCCACCGUCCACUAGUGCCUAAGGAUAAAUUAUAGUUGCUCUAAUUAGUAAUUACUAUAGGUUAAGUGAUACUCUACCAUGUAUACUAAUCCUUUUUACUACACUCCCUGCCCUUGUGUUGCUGGAAAAUAUAAAUAUAACUAUAAAUAGAAUACAAAAGGCCCUCUAGGACCAAGAUGCGGGAAUCCAAUUGACGAUGACAAAAAUGAAUUUUCGCCUCCAUGAUGUAUCAUCUAUCAAUCUCAGCUCAUGCCAAAUUCAACUUUUAGUAGUUAGAGAGUAUCAUUCUAUGAUUGAAGAAGGAAAUAAGAUAUCCAGCGGGAGUUUUGAGAUUAAGUUAGAGUUUCAUUUUUUAAUAAAAUGGGGAAGGAGAAAUUAUGAAAUUUUUUGACUAAGAUGGGGAAAACCUUGCCAUAUGCGAAUCCCAAUUAACUCUUAAAGCCCCACAUGUGCAUCUCUGCUAACAUUAACUCUCGAAGCUUUUAAUUUUAAACCAAAUUUACGGAUGGAGUCAUAAUUUAGGGUGUUUUUACACUGUUCUUUCAAAAGAAAGUUAAAAUAUCAAAUAUAUAUUAAAAUAUUAGAAUUAGAGUUUGACCUAACUCAUUCCUAUAAAAUUGACUUGUAAAGUGAGGGGUGUCACUCUAUAUAAACUCUUAUUAGACUCUAUCUUUAACCAAUGUGAGACUUAAGUACUUGGCUUUUUUUCAAUACACCCCUCACGUCCAACACUAUUGAGUUUGGUGCAUAAACGGUGGGUGGUCUUAAUUGUGGGAUUUGAUUUUUCCAAUACGCCCCUUAAUGCCCGGCACUAUUCCUUAUGCCCAGCACUAUUGAGUUUGGCUCGCAUAUUUAUAUAUAUAUAUAUAUAUGGUGGGUGACUAGAAUCGAUAGGCUCUUGAUAUCAUGUAAGAAUUAAAAUUUGGCCUAAAUCACCCUACAAAACAGGCUUGUAAGGUGAGGAAUGUCACUUUAUAUAAAUUUUUAUUACGCUCUAUAUUUAUCCAAUGUGGGACUUGGAUACUAGAGUUUUCCCUAUAUAAAAUAUAGACACUGCCUUCCUAAAACCUACCCUCCAAAAUUUAACUCCCAAACAUACAUUUUGGUUUUAUUUGGGAGUUGUGAGGAGAAGGGAGAGGAGAACUUUGAAAAAAAGAAGGAUUGGAUGAAAAGAAUGGAGAGAUCUAAGUAGGAAUGAUUUUGGAGGAUUUAUUUUUAUUCAUAAUAUAAAAUUAUCCUAGUUUGGAAUAACUAAAAAAUUGUAUUGGAAGAGAGGUAUAAAGAGUUUGGGAGAGUUUAGAUAAACUGUUGAACUUUAAGAUAUAUUAUAAUAUUCCAAAAAUUAAAACUAUGUUAAUGAUACACAUUCUUUUAUCACUAUUCAAAAUCAUUCUUUCAAAAAAAAAACACUGAAGAUUUCUCUAUAUUUGACUAAUCCCUCAUCCAUCAAGGACCAAAAUGAUUUUAAUAUCAUAUUCUAUAAUGAUGUCGCUUUUAUCUACGUGGAUACUAUUAAUGGAUUAUAUUAGCCCAAACAUGAAAAACUGGCAACAAAAUGUUUCUUAACACUAUAUUUCCUUAGAAGUAUAAUUCUAGUCCAUUGCAUGUGUUAGAGGGAAGUGUUAAAAAACACCAUGCGAUCCUAAUUCAAUUACUUGUGAGAAAGAUGGUUGAUCUAAAUAUAUAGCAUUAAAAAGUAAGAAUAACCGAGCCACUCACAAGUCACAACUUACAAGAUGAAACUCUACACACUCGGAGUAGGGCACAAGAUAGGGCACAAGCAAGCAUCUGAUGAUGUCACUUUGUGUUGAAACUACAUGUUUACCUAUCUUAGAAGUUUAAGACUAAACCAAAUUCUCAGAUGCAAGUACAAGGAAAAACCAUAGAAGUGCGAACAAUAUAAAAUUGGCAGUCUAAAAGAAUUUAGUCACAAUCACAGACACCCAAUCCCUUUCCUCUAAAAAAGAGUUGGUGCAUGAUGUCGUGUGCAGGACACCCCGAAAUUCCAUAUACAAAAAACAUAAUUGACCAAAUUCACCUUGGAUACACAACAUCACACCACAUGGAAUUGAAACAGUACUGUGACAGUGGAAAGCGGACGAUGAAGAUAGCACAUAGGGUCAAACCCUCUUACAUAUUAAGUCUUUGUAAUCAUUGUUGAUCAUGGAUUCUCCUAAUUUAAAAUUUAUUUAAGAUAAUAACUAAACUUGACUUUGGCAAGUGAGAAGAUUGGUUUCCCUCUUCCAAAGUGAGCUCUCCUCACCUUCGAGAAGAAAAUAUUGUGUCGAGUCAGCCAGAAAGUCAAUUGUUUAUAUUAAUCACAUGUAUAAUAAGUUAUGAAUUUGCAUGUAUCUUUCUUAAAAUUUGGAUUGGACCUAACUCAACCUUACAUAAUCAGUUUAUAAAGAAGGUUGUCAAUAGCACCACUAUAGCAGAAAAGUGUGAGUGGUAGGGCUCGGGUGCGAUACCAUCUCUCUGCGAGCCACCUUCAAAAGUCGCAGUUUUCGCAGCCACAAAUUGUGACCGUCCUGCCAUCCACAGGCUCACUACAGCUGUGCCUAAUGGAGAUAGGAAUUGGAGGUGGAAGAACAAAAGUUUGAAUAAGUGAUGAAAAUGACAUAUGAUACUAUCUAUUUAUGCUGCUUAAGUUUUUUCACCUGGCAAUAUUUCUUGACAUUUUCGGUUAGUUAACUGCUCAACAUAAAAAUGAGUUCAAAGAAAAUGUACUAUCAAUGUAAAUUUGUUUUACACAAACAUCCAAUGAGAGUCCACUGUUUUGCCAAGUCAUCCCACUCUUAGUUUAUACUGAAAUUGUUGAUAUGAAGUGGCAAAAUGAUGAGUUCCUAUUUUGUCUGUAAAACAAAUUUACACUAUCUGUGCAUGUCCCUUUAACUCAUAUAAUUAAAAACAUAUAUUUAAUCAUCAGGAAUUCGAUUACUGGUGAAUAGUGAAGCCUGAACCAUAUCUUUGUUAUUUUUCACUAAUUCAAUGACAAAUCAAGUUUUAAAAACACUAGUUUCAAUGUAGAAAAAUAAAAUCAAUAUUACACUUUUGCCUCUUCUAACUUGAUUCUUUGAUAUCUUUUUCUAUUCAAAUUUAGCCCGCACAUACUAUCAAUGCUAUAGUCAAAUGUUUCUUUCAAUUCCCUUCAUCCAAAAAUUCUCCAUAUUUUUGUUUUAUGCAGAUCUUGGACACAAGCUAACUAGACAAACUCGGUAAGCCAUCAUAAAUUCAUUUGCAACUCUUCUUCUCAUAGCAAGAUUUACCCUAAUGUUGAAGGGAUCGCGAGUUGGAGUGUAGGGAAUCACACCAUCUUGUGAUUCAAGCAGUGUUUCCAAUUGCGGAUGGCGGUCCAUGGUGGAAAGCCAUAAUCCCGCCAUAUUGAGUUCUGUUGGAGUGUAGGGAAUCACACCAUCUUGUGAUUCAAGCAGUGUUUCCAAUUGCGGAUGGCGGUCCAUGGUGGAAAGCCAUAAUCCCGCCAUAUUGAGUUCUUUGUGGCACCGUCGUAGUGGAUUAUAGCAGAAAAGCAGCAAAAUUGGUUGACAUUUAAUAUCAACCAUCGCGCCGCCAUGGUGGAUACUCAAUAAUAUGGACUCAAUAAUUACUUAGCACGUCGUAAUAUCUUUAGGAUUGGACGUGAUGGGAUCACACAAAAACAGCACGGAUUGUAGUGGUAUUGCAAGUUGGUUGCACGUGAUUUGUUUCUUAAUCUGGGUCCAUUUUCAGCCACAUAAAAAACUAGUUUCUUAAAGUUGAAGCAGUUCGGGUCGGGUUUAAAGAGUAGGUUCCAAAUUUAAAACAGAAAUAAAAACGUCUUUCUUCUUCCUCACACAAUGUCCGUUCAGACUAAAAGCCAAAACAAAUCCUCUUCUGCUAGCGAUAGCAAGUCACCUCUUAAACUCUCAUCUGCCCUCUUCCCUUUGUGUCUCCAUUACUUGUGUGUGUUAUUUAUUAACUUGUUGUCAUGAAUUUAUCUUUAUGAACUUAGUUUAAUGUUGUGAUUUAGAGGUUAUUUUAUUCAUCUAUGAUAAAUUUUAUGCAUGUGCAUAUAUAACUAUAUAACUAUAUAUAUUAUACACGUAUAUUAUACACAUAUAUUAUACACGUAAGUGUACUUUUUCCCUUAUGAUUCGUGCUAUAGUUCUCGAGUUACGAUCUUUCAACCCCCUCCCGAUCUUAUGUAGAAUCUUAAUUUUCAACACAUUGAUAAACCCUUUCAUCCAUUCAUUUAUGAUGCUCGGAAACUUUAAACUUAUUUCUAAUUAGCAUGCAAGUUAGCAACAUGUCAAUAACCAAGCAAGAUGAAGUCCAGAAAAAAUAUAUAUAACAAUCUCAUCAGUCUUCUACCCUAGGGUUGAACACAUAGCAUACUAUAUAAAGCAUAAUUAGAAGGCAUGACAGAAAAUUGGUAAAAAAAUCUAGUUAAAUGGGGAUUUUUCAUAUGUAGAAACAUGAUUGUAAAGCAUAUUCAGUAUUAAAGAAAUUUAAAAAACCAAACAUGAAAGAAUCUAUCAAGAUUGAAUUGAAUAUCUACCUGGUCCAAUUUUCAGUGAUCCAAGAGAGAGAAUGCUACGAGUGAAUCAGGAACUCUUCAAUUCCUAUAAAAUCUUUCAGUUCUCUACGAAAGAGAAUAACAAAAUGAGAUUUGAAUCGCGUAUAGAAAUAAAUAGUAAUAGCAAGUUUCUAUAGCCGCAACUUUCAAGAAACUAUCUCUAACCUGUCAAUCUGGGAAUCACGGUGCACAGUUGAUAACUGAUCAGCUGAGACGCCUUUUGCAGAGGCGGCUAUGGCGGCCGUAAAUCGCGCCGAAAUCGCAUCAUCGGGCGCGCCACAGAAGGAGAGAGGGAAAGACAGAUCUCUUAAGGAUACCCUACGCUUGGGGUUGUAUAUUAUCUAUCUACCUUUUUUUCCAUGGAAAAAAAAUCUAGUAGUAACUCUACUAAUACUAUAGUUUAUUUUCUUCAUUAAUUUUUUAAAUUUUCAUCGGCAUUUUAAAAAUCUGCUUUUUUUUUUUCUUUCAUUUUAAUCUUUUUGGAAUUU
This 9740-nucleotide long non-coding RNA is filed under the name Lathyrus oleraceus (garden pea). RNAcentral's name for it is "Pisum sativum (pea) long non-coding RNA (PSAT_LNC031174)". The record is from RNAcentral. Lineage: Eukaryota; Viridiplantae; Streptophyta; Magnoliopsida; Fabales; Fabaceae.